AGUAGCUUGCGUAAUUCCUAUAUGUGCAAUAUAACCAUUACCAAAAGCUUGAAUUUAAGUAAAUAUAGAUCGCAAUUUACAAACACGUGGGAGAGAGGGGAGAGGACAGAGAUUUCCUCUCACUACAUUAAUUUAAAUAUCUUCGCCAACGUUUGGAUGAAAAUACAAAUAUUGCUAGUUUCCGAAAGCCUAACGAGAUUAUUCAAAAUCUUUCUGAAUUUGAAUUUAAAAUUUCCUUUGCAAAAGGUACCAACUUUACCAAUCGGUAUGAAAAUGGACCAGAUUGAGCCUUCUCUUGAAUCGUUUGGGAAGAAGCAGUGAUAUUCGUGCGCACUCACAAUAAGAUGAUGCAUCGAUCUAAUGAUUUUUACACCUUUUGGUCUAAAUGGCAAUUUCGCAUACCGGUGAAGCCUUUCUUGAAAUUGAUCAUACGGCUCAUAAGCUAUUAGCAGAGUAAUAAUUGAGUUCUCCUGAAUUAGAUAAGAACGGAAAACUGUUUUAUUAAACAAAAAAGCUGACAUUCAUACACACACUAUGAUAUUCUAUUUUCUUAUCUUAACACAUUAAAAAAAAUUCAUAAAUUAUCAACUUUCAGACUAAGCGAUGAAGGAAUAACACUAUAGUACGCUUAGCGUGCCGAAAACCCGAAAGUUCUACGAUAGUCUUUUGCCGAGAUCUCAAUCAAUUUACAAAAGGUGCCUGAAUAACCGACAGUUAAUGGAACAAUAUCCUUUUUGAGUCAAAAAUGCGCUAAAAAGCAGAUUCAUGUUAUAGACGGAAAGCUGGGCACAUCUUUUUUUGUAUUUCACAUUUUACGCUAUGGUGCUUACUCUUCGAGAAAAGAGCGAAUUACAAACAAUUAUUUUAACACAAAAACUGUAAUGAAUCUUUUGUAGAGUUUUUUUAUUCCACAUUAACCAGUGUACUUGAAACUUGAAACUUGAAACUUUGACAUAUGCCUGGCGUCGCCGCCUCUCCCAGGAUUUAGUCAACUGUCGUGAGGAUGCGUCCCUGGUAGGCACUAUCAGGGACGUUUCUGCGUAAAAAUUACUAACCUUUUUUUCAAACCCUUAUGGCACUUUUAAAUUAUGAUGUUCUUUCUUGUGAACACGAUAACACAAAAAUGCCCGAACCGAUUUUGAUAAAAUUUGGAAUGCAUGUUUGUAUGCGAAAUCGCAACCAUCUUAUGUUUAUUUCUGUCCGUUAAUUUUUUCGCAUACGAUGUAACAGUAACUAACAAUUUUCUGUAGCCAUCUCUUAGACUAUCAGUAAAUCCUUCGAGUUUUGGGUCACAUCAUUGGCACAAUCAAAACACAUUCAUUCAACUUCCCGGACUCGUUCAGCGCCCAUUGUGCACGUCGUACUCACAAUUGGAGUCUCUUCCCAAUUACACCUUCGUAAUAUAUUGUUUUCAAAUGAGCAUUUUGUGACAUGGGAACUUCUUAUAUCUGUGAAACCAGCACUCUACGUCGGGGAACCCCCCCCCCCCCAUCAAAUUGUUCCUCACAUUAAAAACUCUAGAGGUUUGACAAGCUCAUCCCUGAAAAAACUGCUUUUUUCUUACCUUCCUUUCUUGUUUUAGAGUCGUGUCCAAGUCAGAUAAAAAAAGCACAUGGUUAGGUACAGUCUCCAUCAUGAAGUAUAAAUUUUUUUUCUUUUCCAGGAGAUGUAAUGAUUGGAAUACUCCUCCGUUGGUUCGCGUCUCCACAGGUAUAUUAACGAAUCUCCUGGCCGACGUCAAAUGAGUCAGUUGGCUGAAACCACACCUAAAACAACUCGAGGUGUCAUAUAAAAACACUUCCAUCAAAAUUUACCUACAUUGCAGGUUAAAUUAAACAAAAACCUUCACCAUCAAGGUGUAAACACACUAUUCAAUACAUAACAGUAUUAGCUUGUCCAGAGAGUCCUUCUCAACAAGUGUCCCGAUGCUGGAAGAGCCUACGUCCAGAUUCGACCCACCAUGUCUUUGUCGGCAAAAAAUUAAGAAAAAAAUAUAAAGGAUAAAAAACAAAGUCAACAGUGAAAAAAGGAAGAAAAGAAAAAUCCUAAUACUUGGACGAGAACUGUAAGGAAGAUAAUUUAAGAGAAGAGUGUCAAAUUGGCUUAGGUGUAAAUAAAAAAAUUAACAAAUACAUCAAUCAGUAAAUAAAUAGGUAAAUAAGUAAAUAAUUCGCUUUAUUAUUUUAGGACACAAAAGCGACAUGGAUUGCUAAAUAAAUAGAGAUAUAUAUAUGGUAAACCUUCUGGGGUGAUGACAUUAAAUUAGAAAACAUUUUUUUUGGCUUAAUGCGAGGUGAAUGAAGAUCUAAAACAGUAACCCGAAUGAGUGUGAAUGCGACCAGACUUCAUCCUGAAGAACGCUCACGUAUACAAAAACAAUUACAUAACAACAAAUCCUGUUAGAAACAAAGUUUGUUGGGAAAUUUUUGCGGCUAUGAACCUACCAUCGCAUACCUAUACCAUUGAAUAAUAAAUUCAGAUUCUUUAUUCAAUGCCUAUACUAAGAACAUUUUAAAGUUAAAAGGACUGAUUUUGUCAAAAAAUACGUUUCGUGAUGUGGGAGAGUCUAGACGAUUUUAUUAUGUAGGUAAUUCAUUCGUAUUUUAAGAGCAACCUGGCAUAUUAUAAUUUGCAGUUAUGGUAAUAGACAUGUAGUAUUUAUUGAAUUGUUUAUUAAUAAUGGAAUUGAAAUUAUAAGAAAUGUUUAUUAGUAUUUGAAAUUGGUAGGUACGUCAGUACUUCCAGGCCUAGAUUUCGUAAUUAUGCAGCCAUUCAGUAGAAUGCAGCGGCACCUACUGGUUUUAACGAGAGCUUAACAUCGAUUUGCUCUGCAAGGGUGUUCCUACCCGAAUUUUUGAGUAUAUCAACCAGAUGGCGCCUACGUAUUAAUUUGUUACUCGCAAAAUACUUUCGUUGUAAUGAGUUAUUUUAAUUGUAC
Molecule: long non-coding RNA, 2938 nt
Organism: Photinus pyralis (common eastern firefly)
Lineage: Eukaryota; Metazoa; Arthropoda; Insecta; Coleoptera; Lampyridae
Exons: 3
Source: RefSeq, a predicted model, not a curated record